This 490-nucleotide ribosomal RNA is filed under the name Chaetomium nepalense. RNAcentral describes it as "SSU rRNA". It matches the Rfam family "Eukaryotic small subunit ribosomal RNA", at positions 54 to 548 of the family's 1831-position model. The record is from RNAcentral. Lineage: Eukaryota; Fungi; Ascomycota; Sordariomycetes; Sordariales; Chaetomiaceae.
CAUGUCUANNUAUAAGCACUUAUACCGCGAAACUGCGAAUGGCUCAUUAAAUCAGUUAUCGUUUAUUUGAUAGUACCUUACUACAUGGAUAACCGUGGUAAUUCUAGAGCUAAUACAUGCUAAAAAUCCCGACUUCGGAAGGGAUGUAUUUAUUAGAUUAAAAACCAAUGCCCUUCGGGGCUCUCUGGUGAUUCAUAAUAACUUCUCGAAUCGCACGGCCUUGCGCCGGCGAUGGUUCAUUCAAAUUUCUGCCCUAUCAACUUUCGACGGCUGGGUCUUGGCCAGCCGUGGUGACAACGGGUAACGGAGGGUUAGGGCUCGACCCCGGAGAAGGAGCCUGAGAAACGGCUACUACAUCCAAGGAAGGCAGCAGGCGCGCAAAUUACCCAAUCCCGACACGGGGAGGUAGUGACAAUAAAUACUGAUACAGGGCUCUUUCGGGUCUUGUAAUUGGAAUGAGUACAAUUUAAAUCCCUUAACGAGGAACAAU